GUCUGAGACAGGGAAUCAGAUAUCAGCAGAGUCAAUGCUUCUCUCAUUAGAGAUGGACUCAAUUGGAGUGGGCACAGUUGGGGGAGAGGACUUCUUCCUGUGAAUUAAGCAAUUGGACACAAUGGGCUCCCGAGUGGUGCAGCGGUCUAAGGCACUGCAUCUUAGUGCUAGAGGCAUCACUACAGACCCUGAUUCGAUUCCAGGCUGCAUCACAACUGGCUGUGAUUGGGAGUCCCUUAGGGCAGUGCACAAUUGGCCCAGCGUUGGCCGGUGUAGGCCGUCAUUCUAUAUUCAGUAAUGGUGUCACGACUUCGCCGAAAUCGGUCCCUCUCCUUGUUCUCCGGCGUUCGGCGGUCGACGUCACCAGCCUUCUAGCCAUCGCCGAUCCACUUUUCAUUUUCCAUUUGUUUUGUCUUUGUUUUACACACCUGGUUUCAAUGUAUGUUCGGUCCGUUAUUGUGGGCUCGGUAU
Oncorhynchus nerka (sockeye salmon) is the source of this 471-nucleotide long non-coding RNA. RefSeq lists it as uncharacterized. The transcript is spliced from 3 exons. Lineage: Eukaryota; Metazoa; Chordata; Actinopteri; Salmoniformes; Salmonidae. The record is from RefSeq and is a predicted model, not a curated record.